UUCCAAGUCAUCAGCUAAUCGGC
RNAcentral lists this unclassified non-coding RNA (23 nucleotides) under Mus musculus (house mouse). RNAcentral's name for it is "oocyte_clustered_small_RNA13263". Lineage: Eukaryota; Metazoa; Chordata; Mammalia; Rodentia; Muridae. The record is from RNAcentral.